AAAUCCUUGAGGAAUAAAAUAUUAAAUUUUAAAUAAAUAUAAGAACUGAUCUUGUAAUUACACAAGCCAGAGAGAUUCGUACAAGUGCGGGGGUAGGAGUGGCAGCGAAAUUAGAUUUUGACAAAUUCCGUUUGGUCUACAAAUUUUUUGCCAGACACUGAAAUUUAUUUACUUGCUAAAUAUCUCAAACACCAUUCACACAAUACUCCUAUAAAGCAGAAUGGUUUGUUACCGAUGAUAGUGAGGUGUAUGUCUCAAAACAGAAAAGCACUUGAUGCAAAUUUUGAUUUUGUCAAAAUGGGGACAGACCCUAAAAAUGUGCCAACAAAAUGGCUAUCAUUGUUGUCAGCCAAAGAAACGAUAUCAAAAUGUUGGCCUGCCAUAAAAUCAUGUUUUCAAACUGUGAGAAAGGAAGAAAGUGGGAAAGGGACCUGGAAAUGAUCUUCUUCACUACAGCACCAGGUCACAUGCCCAUGUGUUCAGUCUUUCUAAGGACUCUCUUUCUGCUUCAGUCAUAGAAUGCACUGAGCUAAAUGACUCAAUCCGAGGUCACAGUGCUUCUGUGGAAAUGAGUCUGUGUAAGGGCAUCCCUCCCUUGGAGACAGUUACAGGAGGUCGUUCUCAUGUUCACAUAUCCCAGGAUCCUCGGGUGUCUUGUUCAACACGUAACCAGUUAGAAACUUAGUCCUGACCUCACAGCAGCAACAACAACGACAAAAUGCAAGACAAUUGGAAAACAACAGCCCUCCUUAGAUCCAUUCCCAGUUGAGCUCACAGGGCCAGCCUCUCCCUGGGAACUGGAGGAAGAGGAGGAUACAGAGAACCACACCUUACCAGGAGCAGGUACUGGUAGGAACACAAUCUGGAACUGAAGCUUGUUUCAGGCUCUGUGUCCUCCACCUUGAAAGUUACAAGCUCCGGGGCUCCAGACCUAGUAAGGCCCACAGGUUUGUGAGCUUUGCCUUCAGAAUCCCCACUAGGCUCCCCCUCUGUACAUCAGAGAAAAAUCUGAUGGCUUUUCCAGCAGCGGGAGGGGAGAAGUAAUCACUCUGAAAUACUCCUAGUCUCCACUUCUCCUUACCAAAGGCCUUUCCUCAGGGAAACCUUCCAGAGCCUAAUUGACCUGGGGCAAGGGCUAUCAGGAUCCCAAGCCACUGUAACUCUCCUGUCUUCCCAGCAGGGUGGCAGAAAAGCUGAGGAGCUCUUGAGAACGACACAGCCAGGAGCACAGGCUCACUUAAAGCGUGACCCUGAAAUCUAGGUUUGUAGAGCACCCUCUUUCCCCAUACCUAUCAGCACAUCAACAGGAUUCCCACAUAAUACUGGGACUACAACUGAAAAGGACAGCCAGUAUCUGAAGACUCCUAACUCUGGGAAAUGAACUAGGGGUGGUGGAAGGGGAGGAGGGCGGGGGUGGCGGUGAAUGGGUGACGGGCACUGAGGGGGGCACUUGACGGGAUGAGCACUGGGUGUUGUUAUUCUGUAUGUUGGCAAAUUGAACACCAAUAAAAAAUAAAUUUAUUAUUAAAAAAAAAAAGAAGGCUCUAGGGGACACAGAAGCAGGGACACCAGAGGAAUGUAGCCUCUGACAGCUUGGCUGCAACAAACUGUAAGCUCACCCCAAUUGCUAGCAGGAGAAACAUAAAACCUCACCUACAGGCCAAUUUUCUGUAGUUCCUUUUACCAGGUUCAUCCCAAUCAGCUGUCCACAAACACACAUCAAACAUUUUGGUGAAAAGUACAGUUUGAAGAGACUGAACAUGCAUCAGAAUGAGACUAAGAUAUCCUAGAGAUUUUGAAAAUAUCAGACCAGGAAUUGAAAAUUACUGUGACUAUGUGCUGAGGGGUCAAUGUAUUCAUAUAUACAUCUUUCCCAUGAUUUAUGCCACAAUAUGUAGGGUAUCUACGAUAGUUAAAAAAAUAAAAUAUUUUUUCUUAUAAUACUAUGUUCACUUAAUAGUGUGUUCAGAUAAACUAUUUCCACCUUUGUCUUUUAUUAUUUUCUUGUUUAAUUUAUGAAUUUUUUUCUCCUGAAGACAUUUUGGAUUUUUUUAUUCUUAAGAGAAGUAGCCUGAAUUUGAAACCCAUCCUGGAGAAUCCAUGGGGGAAUUCAAUGCACUCAUUCACUUUUCCAGUCAGUUAUAUAUUAAACUGUUAAUAUAUAGUUAUAUAUUAAAACUGUUUAUUUCUAGGUUACAUUGUUAUACUUCUGAGAAUAUUGAGGUGAAAAAAGGAAAGCCCAUUCUUUUGGUGCUUUCCAUUUGGAAGAGGAAAGAGAUGUAAAAGCAGCCAUCAAGCUUAAUGCAUUCCAUUUAUGUUUCAUGGUACAAUGAGAGGUAGAGCACACAGGAUUCCUUUCAGCAGGAGCUUGAAUGAGGGAGGUCAGGGAGAGGGGAGAGCAGACUUCCCACUGGUAGAGGCAGAUGUGAAUCUGGGAUCUCCAACUGUGUACUCCUGGAGACAUUAAAUUGCAAUGGUUGGUUGCAUAUUUGGAGGACUGAAUGUCCUUCCUUCUGAGUUGAGUGUGGAAUGAGAAGAUGCUCUAAAGCUCAAAAAACUUCAACUUUUAAGGCUGAGAAAAAGAAGAAGAGCCUGCAAGGGCAGAGAGAUAGUGCAGCUGGUAUAAGUGGGACACAACCAGGGAAGAUCGAUCUUCAGAAAGGAUGGAAGAAGAGAAGCUUGAGAAUUUCCCAAGAUGAGUCUUAAGGAGUAAUUUAUGACAUGUGCUAUAGGAUUAUGCAUGGUCUCUGGAUUUGCUGUGAAUCUAGUUGUUUGCUCCUGAGAAACUCUCUUGAGCUCUCUGAAACUGUUUACCCAAAUAUAGAGUAGGAAUAUUCCUAGAGCUGUUGUAACAACGAAGUAGCACAUUUAAAGGUAUCUAGUAUCUUCCAUUGAGCGAGAAUUUAACAGAUGAUGGCUGUUUUCUUGUUUUUUAUUUUUUUCAGAGAUCUCUGAGAGAAUAAUGAACUUCUCCUAGAUUUCUCUUUAUAACUGACUAUAAACUGCUGAUGGUCUAAAAUACCUGGUUGAGAACGGGUGGCUCAUCAAUUGUAUAUUACUCUUUCCAUAAUAAUAUACUAUGUACACAUAUGCACUAUAUGUAGGUACACAUCCCCUAUACAUUCCGACACAGCACAUUCCCCUUCCUCCCUGUUUCCCCAGAUCCCAUCCUUUCUCUCUCAAAUCACACAGUUUCCCUCCCCGCAGUGUAGAAACCCCCAGUGAGCUCUGCCCAGCUCUGUGACUCUCCUUCCCAUUCACACAGCUGCUUCCUUUUCCGUUGCGGUUUCUCUCUGGCAGUUUUAUUUCCCAUUACAAAGCCACCAAGUAAGAGCAAAAGUUGUUUGAAAUUUCUAGGUUUUUUAGAAACUCUCAUAGGAGAAGCCUUGUUCUCUUUUUUUCUCCUGGUGACUAUUUUUGGACCAGAGUGAAUGUCCCUGCUGCAGUGAUGUAAGUGUAGCUGUAGCAAAAAGGAAAUAGAAACAGGAGACUGCUGUACAGUGGCCCUGCACAAUAUUUACAAGAGAUGAGUGCCCUCCACUGGCCAGGAUGGACUAAGACAGUGAGCUAGUCUGGAGAGGUGGCUUGUGUUCUAUGUAGAAGUAUGUCCCCUGGCCAACUGUUUGUUCCUCCAGAGCAAAACAAAAACAAAACAAAAAAAAAAAAAAAACACCUCUUUCCUGGAAUGAACUGACUCUGUUAGUGUAAUAAGCCAAUUUCUAUGGCUUUUAUGAACUUUUGCAAAAAUAUACUUUCUAAAAAUAGCAGUUAUAUUCACAGCAAAAGUGAGAAGUUACUGCAUUUUUUCACAUCCUCUCUCCUUCUGUAUCUGCAGAGUCUCUCCCAUUACCAUCAUUCCUCCACCAGUGGUAAGUUGUUACAAUUGCCUCCAAGGUGUAACCAGUAGUUUUAGGAUUGUGAACAAAUCUUUAACAUUACAGGGUUUGUGGUACUCUGAAGCUCAACCUGGGAGGGUCUAACAAAACCUUAGUCCUCAGUAGUUUAUUGUCUUUUAUUGGGUUUUACUGAGUAUCACACGAGAAGCAAUGACACUGAAUUUGUGGAAGAUACACACAAUGUCUGCAAGAUAUUUUGCAGGGCUAACUGAAUAGCCUAGAAUUAGAGGACUUUCUCUCCAUCAUUUCCUGGAUCUCAAAGUCACACUGGGAGGGGUAAAUUUUGCUUACUUGUGAACCUCCAUUGGCAGUCUGGAGGACAUUGCUGAUGUUUGAGCUUUGUUGAGAGGUGGGCUUUGGAAAUUUAAUACAAAUAGAUGAUAUGUUAUGACUUAAUGCUGCAAAAUUUAUUCCACACAUCAGUAAUUCUAUCUACUGCUAAACAGAAAAAAUUUUAACAACAACAUGAUGAGUAUCUCAUGGGAGGUGAAGUUAAAAAGCACUUUCUGUUCGAAGCCGCAAUAACUCAGCACCCUAAAAACAAAUGUGAAGUAAAGAAAUUAAUUUUUCAAUUGCUGUAAGCAAUUUGAAAUGAUUCUAAAUAUUUAAGUACAUUGACAUCAUUAUUAUGUCUUUCUAGAAAUUGUUAAUUUGCAAAUGUACUUUUUAUAUUUCAAGUGUGUGAGUAAAAAUUAGAAGUUGCUAAUCAAAUCUAGUUAUCCAGUGAAGCAUCAGUACCCCAAAUUUAACUUUCAGGAUUAAAUUUUUAGUCAUUCUACACCCUGAGUUGAAUAAACAGCAAAAUUUACACUUUCUUUUUUAUGUAUAAAGCAGGGGUAUAAACACAACAUAAAUAUAUAUAUUGUAUAUCUGUGUUACUAAGUUUUCAUGGAAGGUUCAGUUACAUUAAUAAUCAAAGACACUGAAGUAAAGAGACAAUAAAAAAAAUUGGGUGGGAAACCCACGCUCUCAAGUAGAAAGUGCAUAAGGGAAAGCAAAAAGAGAAGUAGAAAGUGAGGGAGACGUUCAGAAAUUGAAAACGUGCCUGUUGCCUACUUAAGCCCCACACACGAGGGAAGAUGCUCAGAGAAGCUGAAGCCGCGGUUCCCACACUUGCCCAGCGCAGCCAGGCCCA
Molecule: long non-coding RNA, 5031 nt
Filed under: Canis lupus familiaris (dog)
Lineage: Eukaryota; Metazoa; Chordata; Mammalia; Carnivora; Canidae
Description: lncRNA (ENSCAFG00040021519.1)
Source: RNAcentral